UUUAUUGAACUGGAAUGAAAGGCUUAACAAAUGCAUAAUUUUUUAUUUAAAAUAACUAAAAUUUUUAUUUUUUGUAAGAAUACAUAAAUAUUUAAAAGGGACGAUAAGACCCUAAAAGCUUUAUUAGUUAAAUUUUUAUUAUUAUUUUAAUUUGAUUAUUUAAUGUAUUUUAACUGGGGCGGUUGUUUUUAUAACAAAAGUUUUUUUUACAAAUAGGUUAAAAGAUCCUUAAAAUUAGGAUAGGUUGUUUAAGUUACUUUAGGGGUAACAGCGUAAUAAUAAUAGGGAGACCUUAUUUAUAUUAUUGAUUGCGACCUCGAUGUUGAAUUAAAUAUUUCCAUAUAAAGCAGAAAUUAUGUGUGAAAGUUUGUUCAACUUUUAAAGAUUUACAUGAUCUGAGUUCAAA
Molecule: ribosomal RNA, 406 nt
Filed under: Platorchestia japonica
Lineage: Eukaryota; Metazoa; Arthropoda; Malacostraca; Amphipoda; Talitridae
Description: partial 16S ribosomal RNA
Source: RNAcentral